AUCUUAAGGGCAUAUCCAACAGUUUCAGGGGAGGUAAUAACAAACGUAAACGUCGUCUAUUGUUUCCCGUAAUUUAAAGUUGUUUCAACGACGUCAUAACGGAAUCACCAUUGGAAUUGCUAUGGCCCUCUGGAAAGGGAGGGUUCUUUCAUCAAAGGAAAGAGCACGGUGGGAAUCGGCAAAAAAACUCAUACAGAAUAUUAACGGAAAUUAGAACUCAAAUCUUUAAAGAUAUGUUUGUCCUCUUGGUCUAUCAUAAAAGAAAUGCACUUAUCUUGAUCAUUAUAGAAAGUUUCCGUUUUAUUGAAAUUAUCGUCAAUAUAUUCAGUAAGGAACAAC
RNAcentral lists this long non-coding RNA (339 nucleotides) under Mytilus galloprovincialis (Mediterranean mussel). The record is from RNAcentral. Lineage: Eukaryota; Metazoa; Mollusca; Bivalvia; Mytilida; Mytilidae.